AUCCAGCUAACAAGUCCCUAAUAGGACGAAACGCGUGUCUUGGAU
This 45-nucleotide non-coding RNA is filed under the name Schistosoma haematobium. The record is from RNAcentral. Lineage: Eukaryota; Metazoa; Platyhelminthes; Trematoda; Strigeidida; Schistosomatidae.